RNAcentral lists this ribosomal RNA (492 nucleotides) under uncultured bacterium. Its description in RNAcentral is "partial 16S ribosomal RNA". It matches the Rfam family "Bacterial small subunit ribosomal RNA", at positions 29 to 507 of the family's 1533-position model. The record is from RNAcentral.
AGUGAACGCUGGCGGUAGGCCUAACACAUGCAAGUCGAACGGCAGCACAGUAAGAGCUCGCUCUUACGGGUGGCGAGUGGCGGACGGGUGAGGAAUACAUCGGAAUCUACUUUUUCGUGGGGGAUAACGUAGGGAAACUUACGAUACUACCGCAUACGACCUACGGGUGAAAGCAGGGGAUCUUCGGACCUUGCGCGAUUGAAUGAGACGAUGUCGGAUUAGCUAGUUGGCGGGGUAAAGGCACACCAAGGCGACGAUCCGUAGCUGGUCUGAGAGGAUGAUCAGCCACACUGGAACUGAGACACGGUCCAGACUCCUACGGGAGGCAGCAGUGGGGAAUAUUGGACAAUGGGCGCAAGCCUGAUCCAGCCAUGCCGCGUGGGUGAAGAAGGCCUUCGGGUUGUAAAGCCCUUUUGUUGGGAAAGAAAAGCAGCAGGUUAAUACCCCGCUGUUCUGACGGUACCCAAAGAAUAAGCACCGGCUAACUUCGUG